GAGCCAAUCUAGCAUAUGACUGACGAUGAGGUUUGACGAGUUCUCCAUGACCUCCAUCCAAUCGGGAUUGUCGAUAAAGAGAUUGUAUCACAUGAUAACUGUAUCUAGGGGUUCACUUUUCUAUUCUGCUGAGUUGCCACUACAUAUUGCUAGACAUCACUGGUGGAUCAUGAGAACUCAUUAAGAUCAUUUUCGGAUU
This 199-nucleotide long non-coding RNA is filed under the name Elaeis guineensis (African oil palm). RNAcentral describes it as "long non-coding RNA (EGUI_LNC059745)". Lineage: Eukaryota; Viridiplantae; Streptophyta; Magnoliopsida; Arecales; Arecaceae. The record is from RNAcentral.